CAGCCGCCGCGGUAAUACGGAGGGAGCUAGCGUUGUUCGGAAUUACUGGGCGUAAAGCGCACGUAGGCGGCUUUGUAAGUUAGAGGUGAAAGCCUGGAGCCCAACUCCAGAAUUGCCUUUAAGACUGCAUCGCUUGAAUCCAGGAGAGGUGAGUGGAAUUCCGAGUGUAGAGGUGAAAUUCGUAGAUAUUCGGAAGAACACCAGUGGCGAAGGCGGCUCACUGGACUGGUAUUGACGCUGAGGUGCGAAAGCGUGGGGAGCAAACAGGAUUAGAUACCCCGGUAGUCCCUGUCUCUUAUAU
RNAcentral lists this ribosomal RNA (301 nucleotides) under uncultured bacterium. Its description in RNAcentral is "partial 16S ribosomal RNA". It matches the Rfam family "Bacterial small subunit ribosomal RNA", at positions 509 to 809 of the family's 1533-position model. The record is from RNAcentral.